This 429-nucleotide ribosomal RNA is filed under the name Actinomycetes bacterium. RNAcentral's name for it is "Actinobacteria bacterium partial 16S ribosomal RNA". It matches the Rfam family "Bacterial small subunit ribosomal RNA", at positions 355 to 776 of the family's 1533-position model. Lineage: Bacteria; Bacillati; Actinomycetota; Actinomycetes. The record is from RNAcentral.
UAGGGAAUCUUCCGCAAUGGGCGAAAGCCUGACGGAGCAACGCCGCGUGAGUGAUGAAGGUCUUCGGAUCGUAAAACUCUGUUAUUAGGGAAGAACAAAUGUGUAAGUAACUAUGCACGUCUUGACGGUACCUAAUCAGAAAGCCACGGCUAACUACGUGCCAGCAGCCGCGGUAAUACGUAGGUGGCAAGCGUUAUCCGGAAUUAUUGGGCGUAAAGCGCGCGUAGGCGGUUUUUUAAGUCUGAUGUGAAAGCCCACGGCUCAACCGUGGAGGGUCAUUGGAAACUGGAAAACUUGGGUGCAGAAGAGGGAAGUGGAAUUCCAUGUGUAGCGGUGAAAUGCGCAGAGAUAUGGAGGAACACCAGUGGCGAAGGCGACUUUCUGGUCUGUAACUGACGCUGAUGUGCGAAAGCGUGGGGAUCAAACAGG